This 434-nucleotide ribosomal RNA is filed under the name uncultured Clostridium sp. Its description in RNAcentral is "partial 16S ribosomal RNA". It matches the Rfam family "Bacterial small subunit ribosomal RNA", at positions 341 to 792 of the family's 1533-position model. Lineage: Bacteria; Bacillati; Bacillota; Clostridia; Eubacteriales; Clostridiaceae. The record is from RNAcentral.
ACGGGAGGCAGCAGUGGGGAAUAUUGCACAAUGGGGGAAACCCUGAUGCAGCGACGCCGCGUGAGUGAAGAAGUAUUUCGGUAUGUAAAGCUCUAUCAGCAGGGAAGAUAAUGACGGUACCUGACUAAGAAGCCCCGGCUAACUACGUGCCAGCAGCCGCGGUAAUACGUAGGGGGCAAGCGUUAUCCGGAUUUACUGGGUGUAAAGGGAGCGCAGACGGCCAUGCAAGUCUGAAGUGAAAUCCACGGGCUCAACCCGUGAACUGCUUUGGAAACUGUAAGGCUAGAGUGCAGGAGAGGUAAGUGGAAUUCCUAGUGUAGCGGUGAAAUGCGUAGAUAUUAGGAGGAACACCAGUGGCGAAGGCGGCUUACUGGACUGUAACUGACGUUGAGGCUCGAAAGCGUGGGGAGCAACCAGGAUUAGAUACCCUGGUA